This 253-nucleotide ribosomal RNA is filed under the name uncultured bacterium. RNAcentral describes it as "partial 16S ribosomal RNA". It matches the Rfam family "Bacterial small subunit ribosomal RNA", at positions 524 to 776 of the family's 1533-position model. The record is from RNAcentral.
UACAGAGGUCUCAAGCGUUGUUCGGAUUCAUUGGGCGUAAAGGGUGCGUAGGCGGCGCGGUAAGUCGGGUGUGAAAUUUCGAGGCUUAACUUCGAAACUGCAUUCGAUACUGCCGUGCUAGAGGACUGGAGAGGAGACUGGAAUUUACGGUGUAGCGGUGAAAUGCGUAGAUAUCGUAAGGAAGACCAGUGGCGAAGGUGGGUCUCUGGACAGUUCCUGACGCUGAGGCACGAAGGCCAGGGGAGCAAACGGG